Molecule: ribosomal RNA, 374 nt
Filed under: uncultured organism
Description: bacterial SSU rRNA
Rfam family: Bacterial small subunit ribosomal RNA
Source: RNAcentral
CGUAGGGGGCUAGGCGUUGUCCGGAAUCAUUGGGCGUAAAGCGCGUGUAGGCGGUCCGGUAAGUCCGCUGUGAAAGUCGGGGGCUCAACCCUCGGAUGCCGGUGGAUACUGUCGGGCUUGAGUACGGAAGAGGCGAGUGGAAUUCCUGGUGUAGCGGUGAAAUGCGCAGAUAUCAGGAGGAACACCAAUUGCGAAGGCAGCUCGCUGGGACGUUACUGACGCUGAGACGCGAAAGCGUGGGGAGCGAAACAGGAUUAGAUACCCUGGUAGUCCACGCUGUAAACGAUGGGCACUAGGUGUGGGGGGUGUCGACUCCCUCCGUGCCGAAGCUAACGCAUUAAGUGCCCCGCCUGGGGAGUACGGCCGCAAGGCUA